GUGAUGGGACACAGGUAAGGUAGUGAUGGGACACAGGUAAGGUAGUGAUGGGACACAGGUAAGGUAGUGAUGGGACACAGGUAAGGUAGUGAUGGGACACAGGUAAGGUAGUG
This is a long non-coding RNA of Homarus americanus (American lobster), 113 nucleotides long. RefSeq lists it as uncharacterized. The transcript has 3 exons. NCBI's taxonomy places the organism in Eukaryota, Metazoa, Arthropoda, Malacostraca, Decapoda, Nephropidae. The record is from RefSeq and is a predicted model, not a curated record.